Molecule: long non-coding RNA, 6173 nt
Filed under: Sus scrofa (pig)
Lineage: Eukaryota; Metazoa; Chordata; Mammalia; Artiodactyla; Suidae
Description: lncRNA (ENSSSCG00005039137.1)
Source: RNAcentral
AGGGCCGCACCCGUGGCAUAUGGAAGUUCCCAGGUUAGGGGUCAGAUCAGAGCUGUAGCUGCUGGCCUACGCCAGAGCCACAGCAACGCCAGGUCUGAUCUGUACCAACACCACAGCUCAAGGCAAUGCCAGAUUCUUAACGCACUGAUCAAGGCCAGGGAUCAAACCCACAUUCUCAUGGAUACUAGUUGGGUUCAUUACGUCUAAGCCACGAUAGAAACUCUUUAGUUUGGUUCAUUGUGUAGCAGGUGCUACUGGUACCCCCACUCAACCCCCCAGGCCCAUGUGGAGGUCACCUGCAGACAGUUCCUGAACUGCUCCUUGUGUCUCUCCUGAGACAUUCCCAGCUCUGGAAGUGAGUGUGCGGCAGGCUGGACAUGGAGAAUUAAUACCCCCAGGGUAAUCCUCAAACAAGAAGGGUCCAGAGUGAGUGGAUAAACCCUCUAGCUUUCGGUCCCUCUGAGAGCAGGGCAAUUCCCAGUUUCUAGGCAUGUUCUAGUCUCAGGGACACUCCAGCAGAAUAGAACCUAAGUUGUCCCUGGGGAAAAGCUGCUUAUCCCUGUGUGCUUUGCUGGCUUUCCUCUCUUGCUUGUCUCACUUCUCUACUCCCUCAGCUUGCUUCUGGGAUUACCUCCUAAAUAAACAACUUUAUCCAGAUCUGUCUCAGGGUCAGCUUUUAGGGGAACCCAAAUUGAGACAAUGAACAACAACUCUUGCUAAGUGCUUUUUCAUUUCACCUGUUAAUUUCUGAACAUCCCCUGAAGGAGGUGUCCUUAACCCCAUUUGACAAAUGAAGAACAAAGAGAUGAAUACAAAGGCAAGGAUUCAAACUCACAUCUGUGUAGUUCUAAAACCUGUGUAGCUCCUUAACCACUAUGCUCUGUGGCCUCCCUAAUUGUCUGAUCUUCGCUGGGCCUUAUUUUUUUCACCUAUAAAAUGAGUUUGAAGGGAGGCAAGGUACCCAGUGACUCCUACAGUUAGGCCUGGUCAUUGAGAUGUAAGCAGAAGUUAUUGGGAGAGAAAGUGCUUUAAAGGGACUGAUUCGGGCAUUCCCUUCGUGGCUCAGCGGUUAAUGAACCCGACUAGAAUCCAUGAGGAUGUGGGUUUGAUCCCUGGCCUCGCUCAGUGGGUUAAGGAUCACGCAUUGCUGUGCGCUGUGGUGUAGGUUGCAAAUGCAGCUCCGAUCUGGCAUUGCUGUGGCUGUGGUAUAGGCCAGCGGCUACAACUUUGAUUAGACCCCUAGCCUGGGAACUUCUAUAUGUCACAGGUGCAGCCCUAAAAAGAAAAGAAAAAAGAAAGUCUGACUCAGCUGGGAGACCCAUUCUUUCAGCCUUCCCUCUUCUUUUCCUUUUUCCUGGAAUGAAUGCAUGAAGGCUGGAGCUCCUCACCUUAGGCCAGGAGACAACAAUGAAAGGUUAUAAGACACAGUGGGACACAGGUGAGGUACUCAGGAGGAGGCUGAGAAGAAUAGGACCUAAAAAUCCUGAGUUCAAGGAGUUAAUCACUUAGUGCAAGUGGCUGGAUGUGGACGUAAAGAACCGUAAUAGGUAAAAAGAGAUCAGCACUAGGAGAGCCCUCAGAGGGGGAGAAAUUCCACCUGGGGGGUCAGAGAAGGUGUCACAGAAGUUAUUUCUAAAGGACGGUGAAGAUUUUACAUAAUGCUGAAAGAGGAGGGAGGGAGUGAGAUCCAGUCAAAGGUAAGAGUGUGAACGAAAGUGUGGAGAUGGCAUAGAUGGGCCUGCAUGUGGCUCAGUUCAAGAGGGAAGGGUUUGUGGAGGAGGCAUGGCAGGUGAGGGGUAUGGGGCUUGAAUGCUGAGCUAAGGAGCUAAGGAGCUUGGUUUAUCCUGCAGCCGAGGGGCGAGGGCUCAGAGCAGUAUUGUAAGAUUACUCCAGCCACAGACUAGAAGGCAGGAGACAGACACAGCGAGGAGAGGCAGGGAGAUGGACAAGCAUAUACUCAAAGUGUCCGGAUGAAUCUGAACUAUGAAGGACUAGUCAGAAAGCAAAAGAAAGGGAGGACAGGGGUGGAGAAGAGACGGACAAGAGGCUGAGAGGCAGAGACUGACAGAGCGCGCGCACAAGCUCACAAUUUAAUUAGCUUCCUGGUCUGCCAGUGGAUUACAGGGGAAUUAGCAGAGCUCGGAGUCUAGGGACCUUGCUGGGAGUUGAGGGGAAGCUAAUGAGAAAGACAACAACACACCCCAGGGAGAAAUGAAAGGGGAGGAAUGUUAGCCAAGCAGAGAUGCCUGCAGGAGAAACAGAUGUCAGGGCGCUGAGUCCUUGCCUUCCUUGGAGAAUUCAGCCUUAGCGGCGGGGGGAGACAUUUCCAACUCCUGGGUCGGGCUCCUGGCCCCACUGCCCCUGUUUCCAACCCCUCUGAGAGCCUGGUAAACAACAUGAAAUGGGGGGAAGGUGAGAGAGGCCUCGAGGAUCAAGGUACCCUCCGUUGGCCCUUUUCCCAGAAGGGAGCCCCCAGGUCCCUUGUGCAGAUGGGGCGGUUGAGGCCAAGGAUGCAGAGGUGGCCAGCUCCUGACCAGACGUGGCACGUUGCAUUUCCAAAGACAGCGUGACAGUAUCUCCCAUCCCAUCUGCUCUUCUUACAUUGGGACCAUGCCACUUCCCUCUAAGAGGAGGACUUAGGUUGGGUCAUGAUAGAUGAUACUGCUACUGCUUGGCGCUUUCUCUCUUAAAAGUCACACUUGGGUUCCAGCCAUCAUGAUGUGAGAGAACCCAGGCCAUAUGGAAAGGCCACGUGCAGAUGUUAUGGCCAGCAGCCCCAGUCAGGACCAGUUAUUUAAUUUGUAAGGUCCAGCAUGAAAAGGCAGAUGAAAAGGCAGGGCCUCUUUAAUUUAGAUGGUGACAAAGAGCAUUAACUCAAACACAGAGCCCUUCCAAGUGUGGGACCUUGAGUAGUUGCACAAGCUCAUCCCACGAAGCUGGGCCUGACCCAGCUGAGGUUCCAGUGUCAACUGCUGGCAGUAUGGGUGAGGAAACCACCCAGAUGGCUCUGGGCCCAGACACCGUCCGAUUCCUACUGUACACAGGCCUCUGAACGAGAAUCACCUGGCUGAACCCAGCGCGCCUCCAGCCCCACAAGGGAUAAAAUUGAUUUUGGUUGAUUUAAACCAGAACCUUUUGGGUUACUGCAGCAAUAGAGUUGGAACACUGAACCAGAAUUUGUCAAAACUGGAGUGAAGGGAGUUCCCGUUGUGGCCCAGUGGAAACGAAGCUGACUUAACCUGACUAGUCUCCGUGAGGGUGCAGGUUUGAUCCCUGGCCUUGCUCAGUGGGUUAAGGAUCCUAUUUUGCCCUAAAAAAGCAAACAAACAAAACUCCUCCUAAACCAACAACAACAACUAAAGCUGGAGUGAAAUGCAGUACAGUUAUGGAGUUUCUCCCCAAAACCAGGCUCUUUACCUGAGCUAUUGUUGUAGGUCUUUUUUUUUUUCUUUGCAUUUUUAGGGUCCCACCUGCUGCAUGUGGAAGUUCCCAGGCUAGGGGUCGAAUCAGAGCUGUAGUGGCCGGCCUAUACCACAGCCACAGCAAUGCAGGAUCCAAGCCCCUUCUUUGACCUACACCACAGCUCAGGAAACGCCGGAGUCUUAACCCAUUUAGCAAGGCAAGGGAUUGAACCUGCAUCCUCAUGGAUCCUACGCAGGUUCGCUAACCACUGAGCCACGAUGGGAACUCCAGUAUCUAGCACAUUUUAAAAUGUGUGUGCCAGAGUUCCCUUGUGGUUCAGUGGAAAUGAACCUAACAUCCAUGAGGUCGCAGGUUCGAUCCCUGGCCUCGCUCAGUGGGUUAAAGAUACGGUAUUGCUGUGAGCUGUGAUGUAGGUUGCAAAUGUGGCUCAGAUCUGGUGUUGCUGAGGCGUAGGCUACAGCUCCAAUUCGACCCCUAGCCUGGGAACCUCAAUAGGCCGGGGGGUGCCGCCCUAAAAAAAAAAAGACAGAAAAUGUGCCUGCCCUUCAACUCAGGGAUUCUACCACCUGAAAAGCUGUUCUUCAGAUAUAAGUCCACUUGUUUGAAAUGACAUAUUCUUAAUUGCAGCAUUGUUCGUAACAGCAAAAUACUGGAAACAAUCUACAUGUCCAGCAACAGAGGACCCAUUCAAUAAAUUCUGAUACAUAGAAUACUAUGCAGGCACCCUUUGAAAAAAAAAUGAGGGGUCAUUUUGUAAUUAUGCUACCAUUUCUGUUAAAAAAAAAAAGUAUGCAUUUGCCUUUUUUUUUUUUUUUUUGGGCUGCAACCACGGCAUGUGGAAGUUUCCAGGCCGGGGAUACAGGGAUAGAAACUGAGCCGCAGUUGCAGCCUGCACCACAGCUCCAGCAAUGCAGCCACAAGGGAAGUUUCUGCAUUUGCUUUUAUGUGCACAGAAUACCUCUGAGAGGAUCUUCUAGAAACUGUUAACAGCAGUUGCCUCCUGGGAAGAGAAAUGGUUCUGAUAGAGAGACAUACUUUUCACUGUUUCACCCUUUUGCACUUAAAACUUUAAAAGGCGGGGAGAACGACUAUCUUUCAAAGCAGCUGCUCGGUUCCUGCUGGCUUCUAUUCAACCUGAGUUCGGCUGAAAGCCCUUAGCCUUUUCACAUGCACCACUGUCAAGUCAAACUACUUUCACCCAGUGCUAGUGCAGGUGAUUUUUAAAAAUAUUUAUAAAUGCAGGUCUUUCCACUUCUUUUAAAUCCAUCCUGUUGGUUUCAGCCCACUGUUUCAAGAUACUUAAAAUCUUGCUUCUGACGUCCAAAUAUUAGCUUUUCCUCCCAAUAGGGGUGCCUUCUGCACUGUGAGUGUGGCAGACACGAAAACCACUGAGCUGACCAAACGCAGAGUCCAGAAGCAUUAAUGGUAAGACCUGUCCCCAGAUUUACAUCAACUCAAUCACCAACUUGGGUGGAGGAGUACAUUGGUUAAAUGGGCUAGAAAUCCACCUGAAAGGGCAACCCUGAGGUCACUGUUUCAUUGUGAGCCUGGCCAGGGAGGCAUUCAAUGUCUAACUGGAAGUGACCAAGGAAAUUUUCCUAGUGGACUUUCAAAUAAAUAACAGCAAAUGAGAUUAUUGUUGGUAUUAUUAUUUACUGUAUCUUGUUCUUGGUGGAUGUACCGAUUCUUUUCCUAGGUAUUCUCAAACCCACAGUGUAAUAUAUUCCAAAAUAAAUUUUGGAAUUCACCUGAAACGUACCCACUUAGAAUUUCCAGAAUCUACCUUUUCCUCUUUUCUGAUACUAGGACACUUGCAGCCAUCAGGCACUGAGGCCCCCUUCCCUUCCUCCAUGGCUUUCUCAGUUACACUGGCAAGGGUUCCAGGAUCUUCUCUGCAAAGGUUUUUGAAUACCUUGGGAUUUGCAACUCAUUUAAAAUGGCUGGGUGCUUAGGUGUGCUUAUUAUCUUCCAUUUGGAGUUGCAAUUUCCUUGAAACUAUUUUGCUUGACUCAUUCCAGCUUAGAAAUGCUUUCCUUUGGGGGAGAGUAAAGAAAACCGAGGUUGAGUAUUCUGCUUUCCAGUUGCUAACGUGACACCUUCAACUCCAAGUGGAACUCUAGCCUCUAAUAAUUCCUCUUGCUCUAAAAGUAACAAAUGAUGUCUCUUAUUGUCUGCACUUUUUCCUAGUCUCAACUUCAAGAUGAAUCUCAAGUCCUUACAAGGACUUCCAUCUUCCUUUUUCUUUUUUGCUUUUUAGGGCCACACCUGAGGCAUAUGGAGGUUCCCAGGCUAGGGGUCCAAUCGGAGCUACAGCGGCCAGCCUACACCAGGCCACAGCAACGCCAGAUCCAAGCCGCGUCUGCAACUUAUAUCACAGCUCACAGCAACACCAGAUCCCUAACCCACUGAGUGAGGCCAGGGAUCAAACCCGCAACCUCAUGGGUUCCUAGUCGGAUUCAUUUCUCCGCUGCACCACAACAGGAACUCCCCAUCUUCCUUUUACUUACUUUUUUUUUUCUUUUUAGGGGUGCAUCACGAAUAUGGAAGUUUGCAAGCUUGGGGUUGAAUCGGAGCUGCAGCAGCCAGCCUACAGCACAGCCACAGCAACACCAGACCCGAGCUGAGUAUGCAACCUACACCACACCUCAUGGCAACACUGGAUCCUCAACCCACUGAGUGAGGCCAGGGAUCAAACCCAAGUCCUCAUGGAUACUAAUUGUGUUUGUUACUGCUGAGCGACAGCGGGAACU